GACGUAGGAGGCGAGCGUUGUCCGGAUUCAUUGGGCGUAAAGAGCUCGUAGGCGGUUUGUUGCGUCGGCUGUGAAAUCCCGAGGCUCAACCUCGGGUCUGCAGUCGAUACGAGCAAACUAGAGUGUUGCAGGGGAGACUGGAAUUCCUGGUGUAGCGGUGAAAUGCGCAGAUAUCAGGAGGAACACCGGUGGCGAAGGCGGGUCUCUGGGCAGCAACUGACGCUGAGGAGCGAAAGCGUGGGGAGCGAACAGG
Molecule: ribosomal RNA, 253 nt
Filed under: uncultured bacterium
Lineage: Bacteria
Description: partial 16S ribosomal RNA
Rfam family: Bacterial small subunit ribosomal RNA
Source: RNAcentral